AGGUUCUUGAGUUCAUGUAAGAGGACAGUCUUAAAACGGAAGAAGAAAAAGAAGCAGUUCAGUCUUUGGGAGAGCUGCCUCCUUGUUGAGUGCUGCAAAGGCCUGGAAUUCAUUUAUGACAGAAUAGAUCUAGAAAAGUCCAAGCAUGUUUUCUAGAGGGGUGUAGCCCUGUGCUGCCUCCAGUGAAGAGUCUCUUGGUGUUGGCUUCGUGCUUCCGGAGGGACCAUGGCAACCUCCAGAGGGGCCUCCCGGUGUCCUCGGGAUAUCGCCAAUGUGAUGCAGAGGCUGCAAGGGUGAAGAGGAAAGAAAGUUAAUUACCUAGAAGACUUCAAAAUGUGCCUGCCUUUCCUUCUCCCUUCUAAUGUUCACCAGAACUGCAAAGCGAGGAAGCCUGGACAUGUGAGUUUCAAAAGAGCUCCUCUGGCAAGUCUGACAUCCCACACAUCCC
RNAcentral lists this long non-coding RNA (448 nucleotides) under Pan troglodytes (chimpanzee). Its description in RNAcentral is "long non-coding RNA NONPTRT015365". The record is from RNAcentral. Lineage: Eukaryota; Metazoa; Chordata; Mammalia; Primates; Hominidae.